Choloepus didactylus (southern two-toed sloth) is the source of this 786-nucleotide long non-coding RNA. RefSeq lists it as uncharacterized. The transcript has 3 exons. NCBI's taxonomy places the organism in Eukaryota, Metazoa, Chordata, Mammalia, Pilosa, Megalonychidae. The record is from RefSeq and is a predicted model, not a curated record.
GCUGCUGGUGCAGGGGCCGGCAGAGCUGCCCAGUUGCCUGGCCUGGGACUUACAUGGCUAUGAGGCGGGUCAUGGUGGUUUUGAAACGGUCAAAGAUGUAGCCGGUGGGGAAUGUCAUGAAGUUAAUCACAAAGGACACCAGGGUGAAGACGAGAGAGAACCUCUCAUCCUGGGCUCUGCAGGCUGAGGAGAGAAAGGAGAGACCUUAGAAGCCCAGGGUACAGGGACCAAUCUCCCAGCCACCCAGCCUUCCUGCCAGACGAACACCAGCGAAGCCCAGCCAAAGACGACGCCUGCAAAGCCAAGACAUUCCAGCAGCCCGGUCAGCAGCGUGGCCACAUGGAGGUAUAGGGCCUGGCCUGCCAUGGCCCGUCGUGCAGCGGAUCCUCAAAUCCCACUUGUGGGCCCCUGCGCUGACCCCAGGAACCACGAAGUCUUGGUGUUCACACACUUGGAAAAUUCCUUGGCAAGCGCUGCUCUUCCUGUAGCCUUCCUAGUCCUGGCUGUUUGGGGCUUGGGCAGGAACCCAGAUGGGCGAUUCUCUGGAUACUGCAAAAGAAGGCGGAGGCUGCUGGGAACAGAAGCAUUGUGGGAAAGAUAAGGAGAGAGAGCCAGAGAAUCAGCUUUGGGAAAGCACUGCAAAGGAGCAUGCCCAAGGUCACGGCUAUGAAGUGGAGGUGUCUGCCUGACUCCCAAACCUGUGUUCCUCCCAGGCUUAAUUAUGGAUAUUUGGACUUAGAGAAUACAAAACAAAUCUCUUUUUUUUUUUAAGACAGAAAAUUAAUU